This 73-nucleotide transfer RNA is filed under the name Danionella translucida. It matches the Rfam family "tRNA". From Rfam's summary of the family: Transfer RNA (tRNA) molecules are approximately 80 nucleotides in length. Their secondary structure includes four short double-helical elements and three loops (D, anti-codon, and T loops). The record is from Rfam by way of RNAcentral. RNAcentral also lists the same sequence under 1 other name. Lineage: Eukaryota; Metazoa; Chordata; Actinopteri; Cypriniformes; Danionidae.
UUUUCCGUAGUGUAGUGGUCAUCACGUUUGCCUCACACACAAAAGGUCCCCAGUUCGAAACUGGGCGGAAACA